UACGUAGGGAGCAAGCGUUGUCCGGAAUCAUUGGGCGUAAAGCGCGCGUAGGUGGCCACAUAAGUCCGUUGUGAAAGUCAAAGGCUCAACCUUUGAAAGCCGAUGGAUACUGUGUGGCUAGAGUACGGAGGAGGCGAGUGGAAUUCCUGGUGUAGCGGUGGAAUGCGCAGAUAUCAGGAGGAACACCAAUAGCGAAGGCAGCUCGCUGGGACGUUACUGACACUGAGGCGCGAAAGCGUGGGGAGCGAACAGG
RNAcentral lists this ribosomal RNA (253 nucleotides) under uncultured bacterium. RNAcentral's name for it is "partial 16S ribosomal RNA". It matches the Rfam family "Bacterial small subunit ribosomal RNA", at positions 524 to 776 of the family's 1533-position model. The record is from RNAcentral.